CUGCCAUGCUUCCUGGACAGACUUUGAAACCCUCUCUCUUGGAAGAUGAAUUAUGUCUGGUUUUAAAGAAAAUAUAGUAUUGGCUGGGGAGUCAAGAUGGCCGAACAGGAACAGCUCCGGUCUACAGCUCCCAGCGUGAGCGACGCAGAAGAUGGGUGCUUUCUGCAUUUCCAUCUGAGGUACCGGGUUCAUCUCACUAGGGAGUGCCAGACAGUGGGCGCAGGUCAGUGGGUGCAGCGCACCGUGUGCUAGCCGAAGCAGGGCAAGGCAUUGCCUCACUCGGGAAGCGCAAGGGGUCAGGGAGUUCCCUUUCCUAGUCAAAGAAAGGGGUGACAGACGGCACCUGGAAAAUCGGGUCACUCCCACCCUAAUACUGUGCUUUUCCAACGGGCUUAAAAAAUGGCACACCAGGAGAUUAUAUCCUGCACCUGGCUUGGAGGGUCCUACGCCCACAGAGUCUCACUGAUUGCUAGCAUAGGAGUCUGAGAUCAAACUGCAAGGCAGCAGCAAGGCUAGGGGAGGGGUGCCUGCCAUUGCCCAAGUUUGAUUAGUAAACAAAGC
RNAcentral lists this long non-coding RNA (561 nucleotides) under Homo sapiens (human). Its description in RNAcentral is "HSALNT0203400". The record is from RNAcentral. Lineage: Eukaryota; Metazoa; Chordata; Mammalia; Primates; Hominidae.